Molecule: unclassified non-coding RNA, 219 nt
Filed under: Hevea brasiliensis (rubber tree)
Lineage: Eukaryota; Viridiplantae; Streptophyta; Magnoliopsida; Malpighiales; Euphorbiaceae
Source: RNAcentral
CGGGCUUGAAUCGAAAUGGGUUUGUGUGGCUGUUGAGUUUGCCGGUGGCAUGAAAGGAAAUGAUGUUUGACUUCGAACGAGAUUCAGUAGAACUAAUGAUGUCACCUAAAGCUCUAUAAUGGACAAAGGAUGAAAUGGGUAAAAAAAAAAAGCGGCUGAGAUUGUAAAAAGCAUCUAAAAUAACAAGAUGAUCUCUGCAUUUUUCUUUUUUGAAAGAAA